UGGCACAGCCCCGGUGACAGAACCGGAGCAGUGACCGGGCCGACAGCGGGUCUGGGGCCGCCUCAGGCGGGAGGAGAUGGCGCGGCCUCCCCUGCGCCGCAAGGAAAAGCUCGUCAUACAUGGAAAGCUGGGCUUCAGUUUUGUAAGGUGAUUUUCUAUGCUGAAAUCUGGAACAUCAGCCCUAGAGGAGGAAAUACAAGGCUGCAGCUGCUUUUCCUGAGGAGGUCAGUGUGAGCAGUGAGAACUGCCCUGGAUCAGACACGAGUGAUGGCUGCGUGAAUCCUGAGGGACCUCGGGGAGAGAAAUGAUAGCAGUGGUCCACAGACCAUAGGAAGAUUCAUCAGCCCAGACAGAAGCGAAGUCGAAAUGCAGAGAAGUGCAUACAAGCAAAAGCUCAAGAGGCAUACAGAGGAGUCAGCUAAAAAUACAGGCUGGUACUGGGUAGUACUGAGAGGUGGGAAAGUGGAUCCUGGAUAAAAGUCCUGCCCAAGUCAAGACUCAAAGCUGAAGACUCCAAUUAUCUAUAAAUCACUUGAAUUUCCUGCAGAGAAAGAGAAAAAGGAGGAAAGAGCGAGACAGACAGAAAAACAGAGACAGAGGAUGUGCCAAGUGAAACAUUUGAUACCUGUCCUAAAGUAAAUUUUUCUCAAAAGCAACCAGGAGUUACCCGAUACCUCAAAACCAAGCUCAGAAGAAACAUGUUGCCAUUCUUUUUGGCUUAAUAUUGAAAUGAAAGAAUUGUCUUUUAAUUGUUCCACGAGUACAAAAUGUGUAACAUUGCA
Molecule: long non-coding RNA, 782 nt
Organism: Neopelma chrysocephalum (saffron-crested tyrant-manakin)
Lineage: Eukaryota; Metazoa; Chordata; Aves; Passeriformes; Pipridae
Exons: 5
Source: RefSeq, a predicted model, not a curated record